AGGUUGGCUCAGAAGCAGCCAUCCUUUAAAGAGUGCGUAACAGCUCACUAGUCGAAUGACUCUGCGCCGAUAAUUUACCGGGGCUAAGCAUACUACCGAAGCUAUGGAUCCCAAGGGAUGGUAGGGGAGCGUUCCAUGAACGGAGAAGUACGACCGAAAGGACGUGUGGAGAUCAUGGAAGAGAGAAUGCCGGUGUGAGUAGCGGAACGUGGGUGAGAAUCCCACGCACCGAAAACCCAAGGUUUCCAGAGGAAGGUUCGUCCGCUCUGGGUAAGUCGGGACCUAAGGCGAGGCCGAAAGGCGUAGUCGAUGGACAACAGGUAGAGAUUCCUGUACCCGUAUAUAUGUGAAGGAAUGACGGAGAGAGGAAGCUGCAGCCAGCGGCUGGAAGAGCUGGUGCAAGCGAGAUAUCGGGAUGGCAGGCAAAUCCACCAUCCGAAACGAGAAGGCGUGAAGCGUACGGAAAGCUACGGCGAGUACGGAAGGCAGUGGAGGAACUUCCAAGAAAAGUUUCUAACGUAAAGUAUAUAUGGCCCGUACCGAAAAUGGACACACAUGGGUGAGGAGAGAAUCCUAAGGUGAGCGAGAGAACUAUAGCUAAGGAACUCUGCAAAAUGACUCCGUAACUUAGGGAGAAGGAGUGCUCAUAGAGAUAUGAGCCGCAGUGAAACGGCCCAAGCGACUGUUUACCAAAAACACAGCUCUCUGCUAAGCCGCAAGGCGAAGUAUAGGGGGUGACGCCUGCCCGGUGCUGGAAGGUUAAGGGGAGGGGUUAACGCAAGUGAAGCCCUGAACUGAAGCCCCAGUAAACGGCGGCCGUAACUAUAACGGUCCUAAGGUAGCGAAAUUCCUUGUCAGGUAAGUUCUGACCCGCACGAAAGGCGUAACGAUUUGGGCGCUGUCUCAGCUGUAGACUCGGUGAAGUCUUAGUACCUGUGAAGAUGCAGGUUACCCGCGACUAGACGGAAAGACCCCAUGGAGCUUCACUGCAGGUUGAUAUUGGGAUUUGAUGCAGCAUGUACAGGAUAGGUAGGAGGCAAAGAGAUGGAUACGCCAGUAUUCAAGGAGCCGCUGUUGGGAUACUACCCCUGUUGUAUUGGAUUUCUAACCGGACGACGUAGAGCCGUUGACGGGACAGUGUCAGUCGGGCAGUUUGACUGGGGCGGUCGCCUCCCAAAGAGUAACGGAGGCGCCCAAAGAUACCCUCAGCUUGGAUGGAAACCAAGCGCAGAGUGCAAAGGCAAAAGGGUGUUUGACUGCGAGACCCACAAGUCGAGCAGGGAC
RNAcentral lists this ribosomal RNA (1284 nucleotides) under human gut metagenome. Its description in RNAcentral is "bacterial LSU rRNA". It matches the Rfam family "Bacterial large subunit ribosomal RNA", at positions 1098 to 2400 of the family's 2925-position model. The record is from RNAcentral.